RNAcentral lists this ribosomal RNA (253 nucleotides) under uncultured bacterium. RNAcentral describes it as "partial 16S ribosomal RNA". It matches the Rfam family "Bacterial small subunit ribosomal RNA", at positions 524 to 776 of the family's 1533-position model. The record is from RNAcentral.
UACGUAGGGUGCGAGCGUUGUCCGGAAUUAUUGGGCGUAAAGGGCUCGUAGGCGGUCUGUUGCGUCGGGAGUGAAAGCUCAGGGCUUAACCCUGAGCCUGCUUCCGAUACGGGCAGACUAGAGGUAUGCAGGGGAGAACGGAAUUCCUGGUGUAGCGGUGAAAUGCGCAGAUAUCAGGAGGAACACCGGUGGCGAAGGCGGUUCUCUGGGCAUUACCUGACGCUGAGGAGCGAAAGUGUGGGGAGCGAACAGG